This 252-nucleotide ribosomal RNA is filed under the name uncultured bacterium. RNAcentral's name for it is "partial 16S ribosomal RNA". It matches the Rfam family "Bacterial small subunit ribosomal RNA", at positions 524 to 776 of the family's 1533-position model. The record is from RNAcentral.
UACGUAGGUCCCGAGCGUUGUCCGGAUUUAUUGGGCGUAAAGCGAGCGCAGGUGGUUUAUUAAGUCAGGUGUAAAAGGCAGUGGCUCAACCAUUGUAUGCAUUGGAAACUGGUAGACUUGAGUGCAGGAGAGGAGAGUGGAAUUCCAUGUGUAGCGGUGAAAUGCGUAGAUAUUAGGAGGAACACCAGUGGCGAAGGCGGCUUACUGGACGGCAACUGACGCUGAGGCUCGAAAGCGUGGGGAGCAAACAGG